CAGGAUGAACGCUGGCGGCGUGCCUAAUACAUGCAAGUCGAGCGAACAGACAAGGAGCUUGCUCCUUUGACGUUAGCGGCGGACGGGUGAGUAACACGUGGGUAACCUACCUAUAAGACUGGGAUAACUUCGGGAAACCGGAGCUAAUACCGGAUAAUAUUUCGAACCGCAUGGUUCGAUAGUGAAAGAUGGUUUUGCUAUCACUUAUAGAUGGACCCGCGCCGUAUUAGCUAGUUGGUAAGGUAACGGCUUACCAAGGCGACGAUACGUAGCCGACCUGAGAGGGUGAUCGGCCACACUGGAACUGAGACACGGUCCAGACUCCUACGGGAGGCAGCAGUAGGGAAUCUUCCGCAAUGGGCGAAAGCCUGACGGAGCAACGCCGCGUGAGUGAUGAAGGUCUUCGGAUCGUAAAACUCUGUUAUUAGGGAAGAACAUACGUGUAAGUAACUAUGCACGUCUUGACGGUACCUAAUCAGAAAGCCACGGCUAACUACGUGCCAGCAGCCGCGGUAAUACGUAGGUGGCAAGCGUUAUCCGGAAUUAUUGGGCGUAAAGCGCGCGUAGGCGGUUUUUUAAGUCUGAUGUGAAAGCCCACGGCUCAACCGUGGAGGGUCAUUGGAAACUGGAAAACUUGAGUGCAGAAGAGGAAAGUGGAAUUCCAUGUGUAGCGGUGAAAUGCGCAGAGAUAUGGAGGAACACCAGUGGCGAAGGCGACUUUCUGGUCUGUAACUGACGCUGAUGUGCGAAAGCGUGGGGAUCAAACAGGAUUAGAUACCCUGGUAGUCCACGCCGUAAACGAUGAGUGCUAAGUGUUAGGGGGUUUCCGCCCCUUAGUGCUGCAGCUAACGCAUUAAGCACUCCGCCUGGGGAGUACGACCGCAAGGUUGAAACUCAAAGGAAUUGACGGGGACCCGCACAAGCGGUGGAGCAUGUGGUUUAAUUCGAAGCAACGCGAAGAACCUUACCAAAUCUUGACAUCCUUUGACAACUCUAGAGAUAGAGCCUUCCCCUUCGGGGGACAAAGUGACAGGUGGUGCAUGGUUGUCGUCAGCUCGUGUCGUGAGAUGUUGGGUUAAGUCCCGCAACGAGCGCAACCCUUAAGCUUAGUUGCCAUCAUUAAGUUGGGCACUCUAAGUUGACUGCCGGUGACAAACCGGAGGAAGGUGGGGAUGACGUCAAAUCAUCAUGCCCCUUAUGAUUUGGGCUACACACGUGCUACAAUGGACAAUACAAAGGGCAGCGAAACCGCGAGGUCAAGCAAAUCCCAUAAAGUUGUUCUCAGUUCGGAUUGUAGUCUGCAACUCGACUACAUGAAGCUGGAAUCGCUAGUAAUCGUAGAUCAGCAUGCUACGGUGAAUACGUUCCCGGGUCUUGUACACACCGCCCGUCACACCACGAGAGUUUGUAACACCCGAAGCCGGUGGAGUAACCAUUUGGAGCUAGCCGUCGAAGGUGGGACAAAUGAUUGGGGGUGAAGUCGUAACAAGGUAGCCGUAUCGGAAGGUGCGGAUGGAA
This 1518-nucleotide ribosomal RNA is filed under the name Staphylococcus haemolyticus. RNAcentral's name for it is "bacterial SSU rRNA". It matches the Rfam family "Bacterial small subunit ribosomal RNA". The record is from RNAcentral. Lineage: Bacteria; Bacillati; Bacillota; Bacilli; Caryophanales; Staphylococcaceae.